UUUUUUAAUUUCUUUUUUUUAAUCUAUCUAUUUUCUUCAUCUGCUUUGCGUCGUGGUCUUCUUCGUUCCCGCUUUAUAGUGGACCUGUAACGUGUCCUCCAUCUGCUACUGGACCUGUAACGUGUCCUCCACCUAUGCUACGCAGCCUCUAAGUGCCAAUUGCAUUGCUCCAGAUACCCACCGUUUCCGGAUUAUAUCCUUCUUUCUGCUUCCAGUGCCUUCCAUUUCCCUCUCCCAAAGUCGCUUUCAUUCUCUCAAAUUGUUCUCCUCCAGUUUUCGCUCCACCAAAGUUCUGCCUUGCUGGAACCCUCACCGGUCUACCUUGAAGUUGCCAAUGAUUGAGGAGGUCCUUCAUUGUUUCGCCAUUGAAGAAGACUUCUUUACUAGGUCGUUCAGUAUUUCGCCACCGGAGAUAGAGAUCAGGGGGAUUCCAUUUACAAACCCAGGGCUUAGGAGCUGAUAGUUGCUUCUUCCAUUUCCCGUGUUUUGUGGUUUCCUCCUUCUUCUUUUCUGCUCUGCAAUUCUUAAAGGUAAUGAGUUCUUUUCAAUGUGUGGUAGCAAAUGGCUUCAACUGAUCAACGUAUUACAUUCCACCAAGUAAUAUGAAAUUUCUGUUUAUUUAUUUGUUAACGUGAAGUGUACAUAUAUUAUUGUUUCUUUUUUAAGUUCGUUCUCAUGUGAAAAAGUGAAGAUUAUCGUGUGAAGGUUAUUGAUUUUGGGUUUUCUAAUAAUGAUAUUGUAGGAAUUGCAAUGCAAAGCACGAUGAAGGAAUUAUUUUGUUGUUAAUCUUCAAUUACAGCAGCAAGGGUCGUGCCCUAAGCUUCUACAGUUCCGAUUGAGGGUUUAGUCUGCCAUAAAUUAAAGCUGAACAUGGCGCAAAGUCCGUUCUCAGGAGAUGUUUUGCAGAUAUGCAUCCGUUUGCACCUACCUCAGGAAAUGUUAAGAAUUUGGGUGAUAUGUUGUGUACUGUGACUGGAUUUGGUUCAUUUUCUUUGCAACCAAAUGUUGGGGCUGCUGGAGAGUAUGCUGGGCUGAUGGUUAUCCGAGCAUAUUACAUGGCAAUAGGUUAUCAUCACCGCAAUGUAUGCAUCAUUCCGGUGUCAGCACACGGAACAAAUCCAGCAAGUGCUGCUAUGUGUGGAAUGAAAAUCAUUACUGUUGGAACCGAUGCUAAAGGUAACAUCAAUAUUGAAGAGGUAUGAAAGGUUGCUGAGGCAAACAAGGACAAACUAUCUGCACUAAUGGUUGGGCCCUAUCAAUGACACCGACAUCUUUAAUCGAGUAUGGUGUGUUUGACCCUGUUCAGAAGUUGACUUCACGUGAAAAGUAUAUCACUGUUAAGAUAUGGAAUUUUGGCAGAAUUAGAGAGAUCUGGAGCUGAUACAGAUAAAGAUAUAAUUGAAUUUUUCAUGUCUGAAGUGAAGGCUAAAGAUAUCACAUACUAGACUUUCAGCUUUUGCAUUUGCAAUUUAUUUUUAUCAUCUUUGUUUCGAUUGUUAAAAUCGUGUAUUGUAACUUAAUAAAAUCUUUCCAUUUUGUCCA
Molecule: RNA transcript, 1542 nt
Organism: Lactuca sativa (garden lettuce)
Lineage: Eukaryota; Viridiplantae; Streptophyta; Magnoliopsida; Asterales; Asteraceae
Gene name: glycine dehydrogenase (decarboxylating) B, mitochondrial
Source: RefSeq, a predicted model, not a curated record